CAAUGAGAGUGUGAGUGAGAGAGUGAGUAUAAAAGAGGGAACAUUGAGGACUACUCCACAACCAGAGCAGAUCUGGUCUAAGGAAGAGGAUAGUUUCCUGAAAAACUACACUGAGACUGAACACUGAAAAUGGGAGUGGAUAAGCAGAAAGUAGAAACAGAGAAGUCUCAGAUUACAGACUGUGAUCUGUCUGAGAAGAUAAAGACUGUGACUAAGGAAAGUCAUGUCCAAGCCAAUAGCACAGAGUUGAUGCAAGCCUUCCAGAGGGGAAAUAUCACUCUGAUGCAGUAUAAGCUCCUGCUGUGCUCCUUGUAUAAGAUUUAUGAAGCUCUGGAAGAGGAACUGGACAGAAACGCCUCUCACGACAGUGUCGCACCAAUUUACUUCCCUCAGGAACUGAGCAGGACGGAGACGCUCAAGAAAGAUCUGGAACACUUUUACGGUCAGGACUGGCAAGAGAAGAUAUUCGUACCGGCCUCUACACUGAGAUACACUCAGAGGUUGAGAGAGAUUGGCAGCAAGCACCCUGAAUACCUCGUGGCUCACGCUUACACUCGUUACCUGGGUGACCUGUCAGGUGGCCAGGUGCUGAGCCGCGUUCCCCAGAGGUCUUUAGGACUGAAGAACGGAGAGGGUUUGGCGUUCUUCUUCUUUCCCGCCAUCAGCAGCCCGAAUCUGUUCAAGCAGCUGUACAGAAGCAGGAUGAACAGCAUCGAGCUGACGGAGACACAGAGAGAGGGAGUGCUGGAGGAAGCCAUCAGAGCCUUCGAGUUCAACAUCCAGGUGUGUGUGUGUGGUUUGUUAUCCAGGUGUUUGAUGAACUCCAGAACUUGGUGAGCAUCUCAGAGAAGAAUGAGCUGAGACAGAGACACAAAGCACACACCCUCAAGACUCCAGAUGUCAGAGUGAGCCAGAGCUCAGAGCUAUCCUCCUCACUGACGUCCACCUCUCAGCUGCACAGGAUGCUGCUCGGAGUGUGUUUAGCUCUGGCAGUCGGAAUAGGAAUCUAUGUAUUUUAAAAUGUAUGCCUGUAUAACGUAUUUUUAUUUAUUUAUUCGACUCAGCUAGUUGAACUCACUUUGCCUAAUGCGCCAGAUAUUAGACAAAGUGACGUUUACAUGUGUUAAUCUUCUUUCUCUAAGCUGACGGAAUUUGGUGGGUGCACCCUAUAGUCUGUCCUGCUAAAUUUUUUGAAUCAUGGUGAGAAACCAGAAACACAUUCUGAGGUUUAAAAUGAGCCCGUGUUACUAUAUUAUGUGAGAAAUGAGCCAGUGUUACUACAUUAUGUGAGAAAGGAGGACAGCACCUGUACAGCUCUCAGGGAGAGCCAGGAAGUCAUGAUGUCACUGCCUUAUUUCUCACAGUUCUUUCUCAUUACUGCACUUCCUGUGAAUACCUGGAAGACAUAACCUCUAAAAAAAAUUAAAAAUAGAGAUGUUCUUUGCAACUGCUUAAUAUAAAUUAAUAACCUGCAAAGAUACAAACCAUGCUUUUCUCAUGUCAGGAAAAUUGCUCCUGUAAUAAAUGGCAUUAUGAUUUUCUAAUACUAGUGCAAACACAGUCAGAAGUCAGACAGUACUUGAACCAGCAUCGAAACUUCGAAGAUUUAGUAACAGAAAGCUUCUGAGAUGCCCUUUUCAUCAUUGUUUUGUGUUGGAAGGUUGGCACUGGAAACUAUUACUUGAGACACCAAAUGGUUUCCCUGUACUCUCACAGUUUAAAGAAAUAAAAAGUCAAAUGUACAGACAA
This is an RNA transcript of Pangasianodon hypophthalmus (striped catfish), 1749 nucleotides long. It is a transcript of the gene named heme oxygenase, with no coding region annotated. The record is from RefSeq and is a predicted model, not a curated record. The transcript has 7 exons. NCBI's taxonomy places the organism in Eukaryota, Metazoa, Chordata, Actinopteri, Siluriformes, Pangasiidae.